Molecule: ribosomal RNA, 467 nt
Filed under: uncultured bacterium
Lineage: Bacteria
Description: partial 16S ribosomal RNA
Rfam family: Bacterial small subunit ribosomal RNA
Source: RNAcentral
GACGAACGCUGGCGGCGUGCUUAACACAUGCAAGUCGAACGAUGACGACCGAGCUUGCUCGGUCUGAUUAGUGGCGAACGGGUGAGUAACACGUGAGCAACCUGCCCUUCACUCUGGGAUAACCUCGGGAAAUCGGGGCUAAUACCGGAUAUGAGCUCCUGUCGCAUGGUGGGUGUUGGAAAGUUUCGCGGUGGAGGAUGGGCUCGCGGCCUAUCAGUUUGUUGGUGGGGUAGUGGCUCACCAAGGCGAUGACGGGUAGCCGGCCUGAGAGGGCGACCGGCCACACUGGGACUGAGACACGGCCCAGACUCCUACGGGAGGCAGCAGUGGGGAAUAUUGCACAGUGGGCGGAAGCCUGAUGCAGCGACGCCGCGUGAGGGAUGACGGCCUUCGGGUUGUAAACCUCUUUCAGCAGGGAAGAAGCGAAAGUGACGGUACCUGCAGAAGAAGCGCCGGCUAACUACGUG